This 947-nucleotide ribosomal RNA is filed under the name uncultured bacterium. Its description in RNAcentral is "bacterial SSU rRNA". It matches the Rfam family "Bacterial small subunit ribosomal RNA", at positions 48 to 993 of the family's 1533-position model. The record is from RNAcentral.
CUUUAACAUGCAGUCGAACGGCAGCACGGGGCAACCUGGUGGCGAGUGGCGAACGGGUGAGUAACAUAUCGGAACAUAUCCGGAAGUGGGGGAUAACGUAGCGAAAGUUACGCUAAUACCGCAUAUGCCCUGAGGGGGAAAGGGGGGGAUCGCAAGACCUCUCGCUUUCGGAGUGGCCGAUAUCGGAUUAGCUAGAUGGUGAGGUAAAGGCUCACCAUGGCGACGAUCCGUAGCGGGUCUGAGAGGACGACCCGCCACACUGGAACUGAGACACGGUCCAGACUCCUACGGGAGGCAGCAGUGGGGAAUUUUGGACAAUGGGCGCAAGCCUGAUCCAGCCAUACCGCGUGAGUGAAGAAGGCCUUCGGGUUGUAAAGCUCUUUCAGCCGGAAAGAAAUCGCACUUUUUAAUACGGAGUGUGGAUGACGGUACCGGAAGAAGAAGCACCGGCUAACUACGUGCCAGCAGCCGCGGUAAUACGUAGGGUGCGAGCGUUAAUCGGAAUUACUGGGCGUAAAGCGUGCGCAGGCGGUUUGAUAAGACAGAUGUGAAAUCCCCGGGCUCAACCUGGGAACUGCAUUUGUGACUGCCAGACUAGAGUGUAGCAGAGGGGGGUAGAAUUCCACGUGUAGCAGUGAAAUGCGUAGAGAUGUGGAGGAAUACCGAUGGCGAAGGCAGCCCCCUGGGCUAACACUGACGCUCAUGCACGAAAGCGUGGGGAGCAAACAGGAUUAGAUACCCUGGUAGUCCACGCCCUAAACGAUGUCAACUAGGUGUUGGGGAAGGAGACUUCUUUAGUACCGCAGCUAACGCGUGAAGUUGACCGCCUGGGGAGUACGGUCGCAAGAUUAAAACUCAAAGGAAUUGACGGGGACCCGCACAAGCGGUGGAUUAUGUGGAUUAAUUCGAUGCAACGCGAAAACCUUACCUACCCUUGACAUGUCAGA